This is a non-coding RNA of Odocoileus virginianus texanus, 236 nucleotides long. The record is from RefSeq and is a predicted model, not a curated record. NCBI's taxonomy places the organism in Eukaryota, Metazoa, Chordata, Mammalia, Artiodactyla, Cervidae.
UCCUCUCCCACUGUAGACCCAUCGUGGUGGGGACGGAGGAGACCUCAGGUGUGGCAGGAAGGCUACUGUGAGAGCUGCCAAAAGACCAGGACCAGGGACUCAUCGUAACAACACGAGAGCAAGUGCACGAUUAUCUCAUCGCCAGAGUCCCAGUCUCCCCGCCUCCACACUGGCCCCUUGGGACCCUGUGUAUCUGUGCUUCUUUAUUUCGAAUCAUCAUCAUGUCACCAUCCAAA